GAGACAAGGAAAGCUGGAGGACAGAGGCAGGUCACUUCUGCUGAGAGUUCCUUGCUUUACCAACUGUAUGUAUAGAUGCUGGGAGGAGUCUAGAGGAAAAGGAGUCGGAGUUUGGUAACUUUAUAGGAAUCUCUGCCCCCCAGUAGUUAGUAAUCUCUUUACCUUUCUGUUGUUCCUUUUCGGCUAGUUUCUUGCAGCUUUAAAACUGC
RNAcentral lists this long non-coding RNA (209 nucleotides) under Bos taurus (domestic cattle). Its description in RNAcentral is "long non-coding RNA NONBTAT019678". Lineage: Eukaryota; Metazoa; Chordata; Mammalia; Artiodactyla; Bovidae. The record is from RNAcentral.